AUUGAACGCUGGCGGCGUGCCUAACACAUGCAAGUCGAGCGGUAACAGGUGUAGCAAUACAUGCUGACGAGCGGCGAACGGGUGAGUAAUGCUUCGGAAUCUACCUUAUGGUGGGGAAUAACUAGCCGAAAGGUUAGCUAAUACCGCAUACGUCCUACGGGAGAAAGCAGGGGAUCGUAAGACCUUGCGCCAAAAGAUGAGCCGAAGUCGGAUUAGCUAGUUGGUAGGGUAACGGCCUACCAAGGCGACGAUCCGUAGCUGGUCUGAGAG
Molecule: ribosomal RNA, 270 nt
Filed under: uncultured bacterium
Lineage: Bacteria
Description: partial 16S ribosomal RNA
Rfam family: Bacterial small subunit ribosomal RNA
Source: RNAcentral